GACGAACGCUGGCGGCGUGCUUAACACAUGCAAGUCGAACGGAAAGGCCCUGAUCUUGUGGGGUGCUCGAGUGGCGAACGGGUGAGUAACACGUGAGUAACCUGCCCUUGACUUUCGGAUAACUUCAGGAAACUGGGGCUAAUACCGGAUAGGAGCUCCUGCUGCAUGGUGGGGGUUGGAAAGAUUCGGCGGUUGGGGAUGGACUCGCGGCUUAUCCGCUUGUUGGUGGGGUAGUGGCUUACCAAGGCUUUGACGGGUAGCCGGCCUGAGAGGGUGACCGGCGACAUUGGGACUAAGAUACGGCCCAGACGCCUACGGGAGGCAGCGGUGGGGAGUAUGGCGGAAUGGGCGGAAGCCAGAGACAGCAACGCCGCGUUCGGGAUGACGGCCUACGGGUUGUAAACCGCUGUCGCCUGAGACGAAGCGUGAGUGACGGUAAUGGGUAAAGAAGCACCGGCUAACUACGUG
This 468-nucleotide ribosomal RNA is filed under the name uncultured bacterium. Its description in RNAcentral is "partial 16S ribosomal RNA". It matches the Rfam family "Bacterial small subunit ribosomal RNA", at positions 28 to 507 of the family's 1533-position model. The record is from RNAcentral.